This 6412-nucleotide long non-coding RNA is filed under the name Sus scrofa (pig). RNAcentral describes it as "lncRNA (ENSSSCG00000054611.1)". Lineage: Eukaryota; Metazoa; Chordata; Mammalia; Artiodactyla; Suidae. The record is from RNAcentral.
UUUUUUUUUUUUUUUUUUAUUAUUAUUGUCCCAAUCCACCGACUUCCAUGGAUCAGCUCAGCCCCCCUCAUCUAUCUGAACCCACCCCAGUGGCACCAGCCCAUACCCGUGACUUUACUGUCUGAAGAGCUCAGUUAUUGCUGUGACCCGAAGUUGUCAUAGACUCAACUUUCUUAUUUGCUGCCACUCACUGGGUGCUCUCUGUGCUCAGGGACAAUGCCCCUGAUGGUCCAUCGCUGGCCUCCUGUGCCACUUGGUUAGUUCUGAGCAGCCAGCAUGAGGAAUGCGUCUCCAGGGCGUCAGUGGUCACUGUCACUGGAUAUCGUCAUCCAAGGACUACGGGAAUGCCUCAUCCCAGGAGAGAUGCCACUGAAGACUGGUCCACGGGCUUCCUUUUAGUGUCUCUGGGCAUCAGGGCUGGACAUUUCCUCCUCUCCUGCCCUUCCACAGCCCCUCAGAAGGUCUGUAGGAGGAGGGAGGCAUCUUGAAUUGGGUUUGUUUUUGGAUGACUGGCUUCCUUCCUACCGGGUGUUGCAGCUGGGACAGAGUGCUGCACUUCGACCUAAUUCUGAUGGUCUUCAGCUUGAGAUGGUACGUGUGGCACAGGACAGUGAUGGCCAGGGCCAAUGGUUACCUGUUCGGAAGCCCUGACCCCCCCGCCCCCGCUCAGGGGCUUCUAUGAUUCCCUGCCUUUGUCCAAGCCCUUUCCUUUUCCUGAAAGAUCCCUCAGCGUCCCUUUCGUCAGUAUCCACUUGACAAAUGCCUCUUUACCCCUUAAGCCUCAGCUCACAUGCCAUCAGUCAUCUGUAGUUUCUUCCACAGAAGAAAUUCCAGGCCCCCAGAAUUCCAAAAUGUCUUAGAAUUCCUUUCACAUCAGUGCUUCUCACAUGAAGCCACAUUCACUUAAGUGUUACUGCCACGGGCAGGCUCCCACCACCCCUUUUCAGGCCCACCUCGUUCACCUUUCUGUCCUCAGCACUAGCUUGGCAUGCUCUGAGUCUAAGACACACUUUGUGGAAUUGAACUGGGUGAAUUCUUUUAUUUAUUUAUUUAUUUGCCUUUUGCCUUUUCUAGGGCCACUCCCGAGGCAUAUGGAGGUUCCCAGGCUAGGCGUCGAAUCAGAGCUGUAGCCGCCGGCCUACCCCACAGCCACAGCAAUGUGGGAUCCGAGCCGUGUCUGCAACCUACACCACAGCUCAUGGCAACGCCGGAUCCUUAACCCACUGAGCAAGGCCGGGGAUCGAACCCGCAACCUCAUGGAUCCUAGUCGUAUUUGUUAACCACUGCGUCACAACGGGAACUCCUGAACUGGGGGAAUUUGGAUGCCCAGAGGGAGCCGUUGAGAUGUUUGAAGCAGGAAAUGAAUGUAUUUGGAUAGUGCUGGAGGCCUUUGGUCCCAGGCAGGGAUAUGACUCCAAUAGCCACGCUCUGGACCUCCUCAAAGGCGGAGGCAGGAAGAUGAAAUGAAGCAGAAAUUAAAGGAUUCCAUGUCAGGUGGGACAAGGAGGCUGAAGGAGGGGGCGCAUUAGAGGCUGAUGCUGGGAGGUGGGGUUUGUGGGUGCCAUCAGGGGAGGCAUUUCACAGGGAGCAGGAGGAUGUGGGUGUGCCCCAGAAGAAAGCUAAAGUCCUUCCAAGCCAAAGAAAAAUUCGAAGCACGCGUCUUUUUCCGAAGUAGUACAUGAGCAUCUUUCAAAGAAGGGAAGUGACGUUCUAAAGGUCAGAGCAGUAGACUGGCUAUUUGUGUUCUGGGUUGGAGAGGAACACACAGGCUAGGAAUCACCAUCCAGGUGCAAGGGAAGGCUGGCGCAUUUCAGCCACCUGCUAGAAGGGCCGGGUUCCAACCCCUGAGGGCAGAGGAGAGGCUUGUAUCCUGGGCCAAUUCCCAGGACACUCAUGCCGCCUCUUGUGCUUGGCUUGAAAGAAACACGCUCCAACUUCUUCUUCUGUUUCAAGGAAGAUAUGAUUUAGGUUUUGAAAGCCAUGCCUAGCUGUCAUUGGGGCGGAUGGCCUGGGUUAGAUCGCACUAGCCUGAGCUGUGGCUGUUUCCCUCAGACCUGACAAUAGCAGCUCAGUGACACGAGGAAGUGGCUUUCUCCUGUGGGGUCCACACUGGGCUCCAAGGACCCCGGGAAAUAUGUCACCUCUUAGUCCUGGGUAGUGGGGGGUGCUUUGGAUGGCACGUGAGCCUGGAGCUCCAGGGUCAUGGUUUAGACAGGUAUGUGAUGCUGAAAACCUUUUUGCCUUGCUGUGUUCUUAUUACAGACCAAUCUAAUCCAGCUUCCUUCAAAUUCUGCUCGUCUGGAUGUUUCCUGGUGACAUUUCAGCUAUUGCCUGGUCACAUGGGAAAGAGAACUGUUGCUAAAUGUGUGUGAUCUUUCGGGGUGGGGCCAAAAGGGGUCAGGUGUCGGGGAAAGGAGAGAGGGCGAGACAGGGGUAAGAGAUGCAUGCUGUGCCCGCUACAAGCCUGUGGAACCCUGGCCGUGUUCACACGUAGAGAACUCUGUUUCUUCCUCAAGAGAUUUUGUUCAGAUAUCUGGACUUUAGUUACGUACAGUAGAUCACCCUUGCAAACUUGCAACCUAUUUGCUCAGACAAUUUUCAUAGAGGUAUGAAUUUCAUAUGCAUAUGAAUACGGAAUUCUGGGCAAGAGAAAAGUGUUGAUAGGGUUAGUAUAAAUUAGAGACAGUUUAGGCCUGUGGUUGGUGUCAAGUAGCUUUUCUGCCUGUCUCAGCCCAGUGCUGGGCAUUUCAGGGCAGACGUGCAUGAAUAUGACCUUAAUAAACAAAAAGGGGAUCAGCCAUGUGAGCCCCGGGGGACCUCUACCAGCAGCCUCACUCUUUAGAUCACACCGAUGGUUCCAGGAAUAAAGGGAGGAGUUCUCUAAAGCGAAGUCAAUGUGGUCACAAAGCCCAUGAAUUUAUUUCACCUGAAAGGGAUAAGCCAUCUCAGAGCCUUAGGCUCUCAAACCAGGGCACAGACUUUGAAUUCGGUGUAAACUAAUGUCACUGAUGACACUGGCUUCAUUUCAGAUUUCCUCUAAAAAUCAUUCAUUCCCCCCAGGGCAUGGUAGACAGCAGGUAGAGGGCACCGAGGGCCUGGAACAGGGCAGUUGGGUCCAGGCUGCUGUGAAGCUCUGAUGGGCAGUGAGCAGAGGAGAGGCGGGUUCCCCCUCUCCCAGUCUGUCACACCAUGGGGUCGCAGCGGGGUCUAGGGACAGCCCCGCAUCACAAAACUACAUCAUUACGGAUACUCAUGCUGAUGCCAUUUCUGCAAAUGAAGUGAACUUUCUGUUUCAUAUGAUCGAAGCACACAGACAAAAGGGUUUCUGCUUCAGGGUGCAGAAAGCAUCCUGUGAAAUUACAGAUGUGUCCUAAACUGUCUGCUGCUUUCAUGGUGUGUUAAAGAAAUGGCAUGAUUGUGUUGGAGACCUGGGUCCUUGUGCUCUGAGUUACCACCGUUUAUUUUACUUCUCUUAGAGAUUAAGGGUGAUGUUAUUCAUUAAAGACUCUGUGAGCAGUCUUUGUGUGGGGGCAGAAUCUCACAACCUUGUUUUGUUGCUGGGACCCCCUAUAUGUGGUGGUGGGCUGUGUGCAUAGAGGCUCACAUUUUAAAAAAUUUUUUUUUGCUUUUUAGGGCUGCACCUGCAGCAUAUGGAGGUUCUCAGGCUGGGGUCCAAUAAUCAGAGCUGUAGCUGCUGGUCUAUGCCACAGCAACAGCUUAUGGCAACACCAGAUCCUUAACCUACUGAGCGAGGCCAGGGAUCGAACCCACAUCCUCAUGGAUACUAGUCAGGGUUCGUUACCGCUGAGCCACUAUGGGAACUCCUGUAUCUUCUAGUAGAAAGUAUGGUCUUUGAGGACAAGAACCGCUUUGAUUCAACUCUGUAAGCUUAGCAGCUAGAAUUGCACCUGUCACAUGGCCAAUCUCAAUAAAUACUUAGAGAUGUAGGUUUCCCAGCACGUGCCUUCCAUCAGACCUGACUCCUUGGGCCACUUAGGUCAGCUAUCAAAUCCUGCCUCAUUCCUACUUAACUUCUCUGGGGGAAAUGUCCUCUGCCAGUUCCUUCUUCCUCCAAAGGACUGACUGCUGGCUUGGCCAUUCCUAUUCUGCCAAACAGGAGGCUGGGCUGUGGAGGGGGUGGGAGGGGGCAGCAGGGACUGGGGUGGCACAGAACACUGUGUGAGUGAACUGGCAGAAGUUCUGUGGGCUCGCCAGCUGGUACCAUGUGGGAGAGCCAAAGGGAAAGUUUGUUUUUUCUGCCCAAAGCUCAGAAUCCUGAGCGCAAUCACGAGUCUUAGUGCUAAAGGCUUAGGUAUGAGACGUGUCAAGGUCAUCUCUGCUGCCUGCCUGAUGGGGGAGGGGCAUUGUGGGGAUGCCGUGUGUGUGUGUGUGCGUGUGUGUGUGCGCGGGGGUGUUGCCAGAUACUGGGCAUGUCCAGACAGCUAAUAACGUGCCUCCACAACACAGCGAGAGGAAGAGCCACUGAUCCAAUUCGCAAUUUAUCUUUUGGGUUGAUCCCGGUGUUUCCCCUUUAUUUCUGACUUGAUGUAUCCAUCUGUAGGCUCAGUGAGUUCACUUUGGCAAAGUAUUGCAUGAAUAGAAGUAUUUAACUACUCAAUAGAUUAGCUCAUAGUCAUGUGCAUGUAUGUGUGAGUGUGUGUGUGUACAUGGAGCAUACUUAACCCUUAAACGAGGGACUUUCCUUUUGGGUGGGGAACCCAGGAUUGGUUGCUUUAUGAGCAUAGCAAGCACAGAACCAGGAGAGGGGGUUGGAGCUGGUGAGGAAAAUUCUGGGUACAGCCAGACUGAAUUGCAUAGACUUUACCCUGGGGAAGAUCUUUGAUUGAGGAGGUAGGAAUCUUUGAUUGGAAAAGAAGUGGGGAGGAGUUAUAUGUGUUUUCUGGACUUCAAUCAAACCCUCUUCCCGUAUAGUUCUCAGGCUGAAAGAAAAUACAGGAAGCAUCUGGUCCAGCGUUUCUCAUCUGACUCUGUAUCAGAAUCACCUGGGAUUGCCUUUUUAUCUAGUUUUAUUGAGAUUCACCUGACAUAAAACAUCGUAUGGGUUUAAGGUGUACAACAUAAUUAUUUGAUAUAUGUGUAUAUUGGGAAAUGAUCACACAAUAGGCUAAGUUCACAUCCAUCACCUCUCCUAGUUACAGUUUUCUUCCUUAUGAUGGGAACUUUGAGAUGUACCCUCUUAGCUACUCUCAAAUAUGUAAUACGGUAUUGCUAACGAUAGUCACCGUGUUGUACAUUAGAUCAUCAGAACUUAGUUAUCUUAUAAUGGGAAGUUUGUACCUUUUGACCACCUUCACCCUCUUCCCCUACUCCCUACCCUAGCCUCUGGCAACAACCAAUCUGUUCUCUGUUUCUAUGAGUUUGGGUUUUUUAGAUUCCACAUGUGCGAUCAUAGAGUAUUUGUCUUUGCCUGACUUAUUUCACUUAGCAUGAUGUCUUCGAGGUCCAUCCAUGUGAUCUAAAAUGGUAAGAUUUCCUUUUUUUGGCUGAAUAAUAUUCCAUUGUAUACAUACACUGCUUUUCUUUAUCCAUUCACCUGUUGAUGGACCCUUAGGUUGCUUCCAUGUCUGGAGUAUCAUGAAUAGUUCUGUGAUGAACAUGGGGGUGCAUGCACCUCUUCAAGAAAGUGUUUUCAUUUCCUUAGGAUAUAUACCCUGAAGUGGAAUGGUUGGAUCCUACAGUAGUUCUAUUAAUUUUUUGCGGAACUUCCACAUUAUUUUCCACAGCGGCUACACCGAUUAACAUUCCCACCAACAGCACGUAAGGGUUCCCUUUUCUCCACAUUCUCACUAGCACCUUCUGUCUCUUAUCAUUUUGCUAUUAGCCAUUCUAACAGGCGUGAGGUGAUACCCCGCUGUGGUUUUGAUUUGCAUUUCCCCCAAUGGUUAGUGACGGUGAAGACUUUUUCAUGUACUUGUUGACCAUUUGUGUGUCUUCUUUGGAAAAAUGUCUGCUCAGUUUCUCUGCCCCUUUUUUAAAGGGACUGCUUGGUUUUUUGUUUUCGAGUUGUAUGAGUUCUUUAUAUCUCUUGGAUGUUACCCUUUAUUGGAUAUACAAUUUGCAAAUGUUUCUUCCCCUUCCCUUUUAAUUUUGUUAAUAAUUUCCUUUGCUGUACAGAUAGAAUUCCUUAUUAAAAAGGAAAAUUCUGGAGUUCCCGUCAUGGCGCAGUGGUUAACGAAUCCGACUAGGAACCAUGAGGUUGCAGGUUCGAUCCCUGGCCUUGCUCAGUGGGUUAAGGAUCCGGCAUUGCUGUGAGCUGUGGUGUGGGUCACAGACACGGCUCGGAUCCCGAGUUGCUGUGGCUGUGGUGUAGGCCGGUGGCUACAGCUCUCAUUCGACCCCUAGCCUGGGAACCUCCAUAUGCCGAGGGAGCGGCCCUAGAAAAGGCAAAAAG